UUGAAACCAUUUGGAUCCAUGAAGGACUCUGACACACUUCCCUGUUUUCCUUCUCAUUCAUACAUAUUCUGUAUGUUGUUAUGCAUGAUUGAUGUUGAACUUUAAUUGAAACUUUAGCUUGAAAAUUGGCCGAUUUCUUUUAUGAAAUUUAACUCCUAUUAUAAGAAUAAGAUCAACAUAUGCAAAAACAAUUGUUGUUAGAUGAUUAUUUUUUUGUAACUGAUCAACAAGAUCAACUUUAGUGUUUUAGUGUUUUAACUUAGCUAAUGUAAUGUAAUACAGUGGAUGUAUGCAUUCCUUUUUCAUAAGGGCAUGAACAUAUAUUACAUAAUGCCUCUACCUGGGACUGCGGCCAAACUUACAAAAUUAACCCUUGUUUGAGAGUAACAAGUAUCAAGUUCAUGAUGAUUGUAGAAGUGAUUGUAUGUAUUCAUAAAUGUGACACAUGCACAUUUUGAAAUGUUAAUAUUUGUGCUUUAACUUUGAUUUGAUGAAUAUCAAAUUAGAUAUUGUAUACACUUUAUAGCUACUUGUGAUCAGUGCACAUUUUUAUACCUUUAGAUUGUGCAGUUUCAUAGUGGUUAGUAAGAAUAUUUUGUGAAUUUAUACUUGUUUUAUCACAAAACAUGUGAAUGAGUGAAUGUCGUCUCAUACUGCAGUCAGCAAUAUUGCAGCCAUAUGAAGGCAGCCUGUAAACCAGUAAUUGAUACGCACACCAUCCUAGUACAUAAAACAUUCGCUCUCCAUGCCUAUUUAUGGUGUCCCCGUCGUGAUUUUGCUGGGAUAUUGCCAAAAGAUGCGUAAAUCCAUGCUCUCUCAAUUCAACAUGCCAUGCCUUGACAGACAAAACGAAAUACAAAAUAUAACAUUUAUACUUACAAUUUUGCAAUGCAGUGUGCUUCAUCAAUGAAAAUUGCCAUCAAAAUCUUCUCUUUAGUCAGGCUGUGUUCCAAGAACUGUCUCUGGACUUGCAAAUAUUAUUAUGUCAGUGUCAGGGUGAAAAAACCGUCACAGUAGCAUGGUUGGAGUUAUUAAGUUUCUUAAACACGAAUGGUGCUAAUUCAAAAGUAAGUGAUUUUCCUGAUCCUGUUGGAGAAAAAAAAGGACAUCCUUUCCUCUGAGGUAACUUACAAUCACUUGUCUUUGAUGAUUCCUGAAGUGAUCAAUUAUGUAACUGCAUUACCUUCCAUACCAACAGUUAUACAUGUAGUUAAGUUAAAUAGAGGGCGUAUAUACUUAAAACACAACAUCAAUCCUUUGUUCCGUUCAGCAGUGUGUCAGAUUCGUGAUGGCUAGCUUGAGGUGGCUAGACUUGCUUUUUGUAUGCAUUACUAGAUUAUUUUUUUAAAUGAAAUAAAUAUAUUCCACGGUCAUUGGUGCAGGACUAAUUGUGUAUAUCACCUGAAUUUUGGUCAAUACCUGAAAUACUCAGUCGCCAAUACAGCCCCUAUUUCAUAUAAGGUUAUGAAAAUACAUGUCGGUUGGAGCCUGAAGCCUGAAGUAGAAUUUAGGUUAUUACACGGAUGAUAUACAUGUAAGGCCGAAAAUUGAUGAACUUCUUUAUUAUGAAGAACACAAUGUUUGGGACUAAUAUCAUUAGUUGAAGGAGUAAGUAUUACACCCAAACGUUCUGUUCCACACAAUGCGUUUCACUUCUGAAUGUUUUUCUAAGAGUUGAUACAUACACUUGCCUUGUAUAUAUGGUUGAUGCACGUCGAGUGUCUCAGAAACGCGGGAUCUGCAGGUAUUAGAGCUGAAUACAGUUGUGAUUUGACGAAUUCUUUUUCUUUUGACUCUUCCUCUUAUUUCGUUUUUCAGCUUAGCAUUGUGUAUACACAACGUAAUUAACGGAUUCUGACAUCAGCCACAUAUCUCGGACCACCCCACGAGUCUCUCUUAACCGUUCAAUUAACGUUCCGCUUGGUGUUGCCACACCUGUCCGCCAUCUGCUGUUGAGAUACUGUAACGGUUCUCGUCUGAAAAGAGGACUUCUCCCACUGCUGGUGCUGUGCUACCCUCUGAAGACGGUCCAGGAAACAAAGAAGAAGACUGAAAGGAUACCACUGGGAGUGCUUCAGUGAGGACCUCAGUGACCGUUCUCCAUCACAGUAGGUGCUCAGCGGAGGGGACUACCUCACCCUUGAGAGGCAGAAACAAGCCAAUCAUGCACUUACGAGAUGGACCUACACCAAGUUCCAGAUUACAAGGACUUGUUCCAAAGAUGGAAGAGUUCCAUAACGAAGCUGAAUUUCUAAAGGUUAUAUGGAAACACUUGUACUCGUCCUCCUCUAACAAGUCUGUUUGGCACUCUGCAUGCUGCAAAGGAGCACAAUAAAUGCGGUGAAUGUUACUCAGGAUCCUCAUGACAACUUUUACCCAUGCUCUGAAUUCAUGGACAAGGUCACCACCGCCUACAUCGUAACUGGGGGACUACAUUACUUCCAAAUGGAACACCUCACUUCUGUCCCAACGUCAAGUUACAUGGGUGCUGUUGGCAAUCCAUAUAAAAUGAUUGAUUAUUUUCUAGGUCAUGCAGCAAAACAGUUUGUAGACAAGCACGUCUUACCGGAGGUUCCUCAACAGCCAGGUCAUGGUCUCCAAAUCAAACACACUAGCCUGCAGGUACUGUGGAAAACUGUACCAGAGACCAAAAGCUCUCCGCAAACACGAAGCAUCCGGAAUAUAAUGCUGAAAACAAUCAGGAUUCCACAUCUUCAGCAGAAUCAAGAUCAUCUAUUUAUCAGUACACCCGUCUGUCGCUCAUGCUUGGGCUUCUUCGAAUAAAUCACAACGAUUCCAUUCACAUGGGAGAUGGUGGCAGGCAUGAUGAGACUAGUAAAGUGGUUCUGUUUAUAAGGCAAGCAAAUGUCUCCUUUGAAACACAGGCAAAGGCAUAUGCUCUCCUAUAUGAACGGCAGGCUUUAUAGAUU
Molecule: long non-coding RNA, 2930 nt
Organism: Haliotis rufescens (red abalone)
Lineage: Eukaryota; Metazoa; Mollusca; Gastropoda; Lepetellida; Haliotidae
Exons: 3
Source: RefSeq, a predicted model, not a curated record